RNAcentral lists this ribosomal RNA (485 nucleotides) under Pseudomonas sp. HPC 1062. RNAcentral's name for it is "bacterial SSU rRNA". It matches the Rfam family "Bacterial small subunit ribosomal RNA", at positions 34 to 512 of the family's 1533-position model. Lineage: Bacteria; Pseudomonadati; Pseudomonadota; Gammaproteobacteria; Pseudomonadales; Pseudomonadaceae. The record is from RNAcentral.
GUAGUCGUAACCGGUACCCGUAAGUCUUGAUCGGGCCCGUAAAGUUUGAUCAGGGCUGCGUAAGUCGUAACAGGGGUACCUAAAGCCUAGAAAUCGGCCCGGUAAUGGGGGAUAACGUUUCGAAAGGAACGCUAAUACCGCAUACGUCCUACGGGAGAAAGCAGGGGACCUUCGGGCCUUGCGUUAUCGGAUGAGCCUAGGUCGGAUUAGCUAGUUGGUGAGGUAAUGGCUCACCAAGGCGACGAUCCGUAACUGGUCUGAGAGGAUGAUCAGUCACACUGGAACUGAGACACGGUCCAGACUCCUACGGGAGGCAGCAGUGGGGAAUAUUGGACAAUGGGCGAAAGCCUGAUCCAGCCAUGCCGCGUGUGUGAAGAAGGUCUUCGGAUUGUAAAGCACUUUAAGUUGGGAGGAAGGGCAGUCAGUUAAUACCUUGCUGUCUUGACGUUACCAACAGAAUAAGCACCGGCUAACUUCGUGCCAGC